RNAcentral lists this ribosomal RNA (2880 nucleotides) under Porphyromonas crevioricanis. Its description in RNAcentral is "bacterial LSU rRNA". It matches the Rfam family "Bacterial large subunit ribosomal RNA". The record is from RNAcentral. Lineage: Bacteria; Pseudomonadati; Bacteroidota; Bacteroidia; Bacteroidales; Porphyromonadaceae.
AUAAGGCGAAUUUAAUAAGGGCAGACGGUGGAUGCCUAGGCUCUCAGAAGCGAAGAAGGACGUGAUAAGCUGCGAAAAGCUGCGGUUAUUGGCACAUACGAAUUGACCCGCAGAUUUCCGAAUGGGGCAACCCGUCAGGCAGGAGGUCUGACACUGCGACAAGCAGGGCGAACGUGGGGAACUGAAACAUCUUAGUACCCAUAGGAAAAGAAAACAAAAGUGAUUCCCUCAGUAGUGGCGAGCGAACGGGGAUUAGCCCAAACCUAUAUUGUGAUUGCAAUAUGGGGGUAAUAGGACUUCGAUAUAGAUUUUACACAGUUAGAAGAAGCGUAUGGAAAUGCGCACCAUAGGGGGUGAUAGUCCCGUAUUUUAAAGCUGGGUUAGAGUUUUAGGAGUAUCCUGAGUAGCGCGGGACACGAGAAAUCUUGCGUGAAUUAGCGGGGCCCAUCCCGUAAGGCUAAAUAUGUCUGAGAGACCGAUAGUGAACCAGUACCGUGAGGGAAAGGUGAAAAGAACCUCGAACAGAGGAGUGCAAUAGAUCCUGAACCCGUCUGCCUACAAGCGGUAGGAGCCGAUAUUAUAUUGGUGACUGCGUGCCUUUUGCAUAAUGAACCUACGAGUUUUUCUAUUCGGCGAGGUUAAGGUGUUAAUCACCGGAGCCGUAGCGAAAGCGAGUUUUAAACAGCGUAUAGUCGGAUGGAGAAGACGCGAAACCAAGUGAUCUACCCUUGGUCAGGUUGAAGGUUAGGUAACACUAACUGGAGGAUCGAAUCGUUAAGCGUUGAAAAGCUUUCGAAUGAACUGAGGGUAGGGGUGAAAGGCUAAUCAAACUUGGAGAUAGCUCGUACUCCCCGAAAUGCAUUUAGGUGCAGCCUUGUAUUUUUUGACUGUGAGGUAGAGCGACUGAUUGGAUGCGAGGGUUUCACCGCCUAUCAAGUCCAGACAAACUCCGAAUGCGCAGUUCAUAUAUUACAGGAGUGAGGGCAUGGGUGCUAAGGUCCAUGUCCGAGAGGAGAAGAAUCCGGACCAUCAGCUAAGGUCCCAAAAUACCGGCUCAGUUGAAUAAACGAAGUCAAGAUGCAUAGACAGCUAGGAUGUUGGCUUGGAAGCAGCCAUUCAUUUAAAGAGUGCGUAACAGCUCACUAGUCGAGGAUUUUGGCGUGGAUAAUAAUCGGGCAUAAGUCGGUUACCGAAGCUGUGGGAUCUGCAAAGAUCGGUAGGGGAGCAUUCCAAUUUGGUUGAAGAUAAGGAUUGAUUCUUGUUGGACGGAUUGGAAAAGCAAAUGUAGGUAUAAGUAACGAUAAAGGGGGUGAGAAACCUCCUCGCCGAAAGACUAAGGUUUCCUGAUCAACGCUAAUCGGAUCAGGGUUAGUCGGGACCUAAGGGGCAGCCUUUUGGCGUACCCGAUGGCAUAAUGGGUUAAUAUUCCCAUACUAAUGGUAUGAGUGAUGUGGAGACGUAGGAGUGACAGAGGAGCCGACUGACGGAAUAGUUGGUUGAAGGGAGUAGAAGUUGAUUGGUGUAGGCAAAUCCGCACUGAGAUUCGAACCUGAUAGUACCGAGCGUAUUUAUACAAUCGGAUAUUUCUCGUAACCAUACUACCAAGAAAAUCUGCUAAACAUAUUGUACCAUUACCCGUACCGUAAACCGACACAGGUAGUUGGGUUGAGUAUACUAAGGCGCUCGAGAUAUUCGCGGUUAAGGAACUAGGCAAAAUAGUCCUGUAACUUCGGGAAAAAGGACGCCACACUGUUAGUGUGGCCGCAGAGAAUAGGCCCAGGCGACUGUUUAACAAAAACAUAUGGCUAUGCUAAAUGGAAACAUGCUGUAUAUAGCCUGACACCUGCCCGGUGCCGGAAGGUUAAGAGGAGAAGUUAUCGCAAGAGACGCUUUGAAUUGAAGCCCCGGUAAACGGCGGCCGUAACUAUAACGGUCCUAAGGUAGCGAAAUUCCUUGUCGGGUAAGUUCCGACCUGCACGAAUGGUGUAACGAUCUGGGCACUGUCUCAACCGCGAGCUCGGUGAAAUUGUAGUAUCGGUGAAGAUGCCGAUUACCCGCAACGGGACGAAAAGACCCCGUGAACCUUUACUAUAGCUUUACAUUGGAUUUGGGUGUCAGAUGUGUAGGAUAGGCCGGAGACUGAGAGUUGGUGACGCUAGUCAUCAAGGAGUCGCUGUUGAAAUACGGCCCUUUUGACAUUUGGGUUCUAACUUGUAGAUCAAGGACAAUGUAUGGUAGGUAGUUUGACUGGGGUGGUCGCCUCCAAAAGCGUAACGGAGGCUUCUAAAGGUACCCUCAGGCCGAUUGGUAACCGGUCGUAGAGUGUAAUGGCACAAGGGUGCUUGACUGGGAGACAAACAAGUCGCACAGGUAGGAAACUAGAGCAUAGUGAUCCGGUGGUUCCGUAUGGAAGGGCCAUCGCUCAAAGGAUAAAAGGUACUCCGGGGAUAACAGGCUGAUCGCUCCCAAGAGCUCAUAUCGACGGAGCGGUUUGGCACCUCGAUGUCGGCUCGUCACAUCCUGGGGCUGGAGAAGGUCCCAAGGGUUGGGCUGUUCGCCCAUUAAAGUGGCACGCGAGCUGGGUUCAGAACGUCGUGAGACAGUUCGGUCUCUAUCUGUUGUGGGCGUAGAGAUUUGCGAGGAUCUGACAUUAGUACGAGAGGACCGUGUUGGACGCACCACUGGUUUAUCGGUUGUACCGCCAGGUGCAUAGCCGAGUAGCUAAGUGCGGGAAGGAUAAGUGCUGAAAGCAUCUAAGCACGAAGCCGACCUCAAGAUAAGAUCUCAUUAGGGUGGUUAUAGACGAUGACCUUGAUAGGCUACAGGUGUAUAGGCAGUAAUGUCAAAGCCGAGUAGUACUAAUAGCCCGGAAUAUUCGCG